GUUGGGGUGACGGCGUGCCUUUUGAAGAAUGAGCCUGCGAGUUAGUGGCAUGUGGCGAGGUUAACCCGUGUGGGGGAGCCGUAGCGAAAGCGAGUCCGAAAUGGGCGGCCGGAGUCGCAUGUUCUAGACCCGAAGCGAAGUGAUCUAUCCAUGGCCAGGUUGAAGCGCGAGUAAAACCGCGUGGAGGACCGCACCCACCUAGGUUGAAAACUGGGGGGAUGAGCUGUGGAUAGGGGUGAAAGGCCAAUCAAACUUCGUGAUAGCUGGUUCUCCCCGAAAUGCAUUUAGGUGCAGCGUCGCGUGUUCCUUACUGGAGGUAGAGCUACUGGAUGGCUGAUGGGCCCAACCAGGUUACUGACGUCAACCAAACUCCGAAUGCCGGUAAGUGUGAGCGCGGCAGUGAGACUGCGGGGGAUAAGCUUCGUAGUCGAGAGGGAAACAGCCCAGACCACCAGCUAAGGCCCCUAAGCGUGUGCUAAGUGGGAAAGGAUGUGGAGUUGCACAGACAACCAGGAGGUUGGCUUAGAAGCAGCCAUCCUUGAAAGAGUGCGUAAUAGCUCACUGGUCAAGUGAUUCUGCGCCGACAAUUUAGCGGGGCUCAAGCACACCGCCGAAGCUGUGGCAUCUACGCAUGUAGCCAGGCAUCUGCUCCUUGUGGGUGGGUGUCCAGGUGUGUGGAUGGGUAGGGGAGCGUCGUGUGGUGGGUGAAGCGGCAGGGUGACCUAGUCGUGGACGCCACACGAGUGAGAAUGCAGGCAUGAGUAGCGAAAGACGGGUGAGAAACCCGUCCGCCGAAUGACCAAGGGUUCCAGGGCCAGGUUAAUCCGCCCUGGGUAAGUCGGGACCUAAGGCGAGGCCGACAGGCGUAGUCGAUGGACAAGCAGUUGAUAUUCUGCUACCGGCGAAGAACCGCCCAUACCGAGCCCGGUGAUGCUAAGCGCCCGAAGCGCCCGUGAACCCUGCCCUUCGGGGGAGGGAGCGGGUGUGGAGCGCGUGACCCGAACCGGUAGUAGGUAAGCGUAUUAACAGGGGUGACGCAGGAAGGUAGCCCAGCGUGUCUUAUGGCUAGGCGCGUCCAAGGCUGUAGGGCGAGGUGUAGGCAAAUCCGCACCUCAUGUGCCUGAGAGCUGAUGGUGACAGCGGAUGCUGGAUGAUUGGGUGAUCCUAUGCUGCCGAGAAAAACCUCGACGCGAGGUUCUAGCCGCCCGUACCCUAAACCGACUCAGGUGGUCAGGUAGAGAAUACCAAGGCGAUCGAGAGAAUCAUGGUUAAGGAACUCGGCAAAAUGCCCCCGUAACUUCGGGAGAAGGGGGGCCCAACGCGUGAACCACCCGUUGCGGUGGGGAGCGUGAGAGGGCCGCAGAGACCAGGGAGAAGCGACUGUUUACUAAAAACACAGGUCCGUGCGAAGUCGCAAGACGAUGUAUACGGACUGACGCCUGCCCAGUGCUGGAAGGUUAAGAGGACGGGUCAGCCCCUAUUUUGGGGCGAAGCUCAGAAUUUAAGCCCCAGUAAACGGCGGUGGUAACUAUAACCAUCCUAAGGUAGCGAAAUUCCUUGUCGGGUAAGUUCCGACCUGCACGAAUGGCGCAACGACUUCUCCGCUGUCUCGACCAUGAACUCGGCGAAAUUGCAUUACGAGUAAAGAUGCUCGUUACGCGCAGCAGGACGGAAAGACCCCGGGACCUUUACUAUAGCUUGGUAUUGGUGUUCGGUACGGCUUGUGUAGGAUAGGUGGGAGACUGUGAAACGCCCGCGCCAGCGGGUGUGGAGUCAUCGUUGAAAUACCACUCUGGUCGUUCUGGACAUCUAACCUCGGUCCGUGAUCCGGAUCAGGGACAGUGCCUGGUGGGUAGUUUAACUGGGGCGGUUGCCUCCUAAAAAGUAACGGAGGCGCUCAAAGGUUCCCUCAGCCUGGUUGGCAAUCAGGUGUCGAGUGUAAGUACACAAGGGAGCUUGACUGUGAGACGUACAGGUCGAGCAGGGACGAAAGUCGGAACUAGUGACCCGACGGUGGCUCGUGGAAGCGCCGUCGCUCAACGGAUAAAAGGUACCCCGGGGAUAACAGGCUGAUCUUGCCCAAGAGUCCAUAUCGACGGCAUGGUUUGGCACCUCGAUGUCGGCUCGUCGCAUCCUGGGGCUGGAGUUGGUCCCAAGGGUUGGGCUGUUCGCCCAUUAAAGCGGUACGCGAGCUGGGUUUAGAACGUCGUGAGACAGUUCGGUCCCUAUCCGCUGCGCGCGCAGGAAAUUUGAGAAGGCCUGUCCCUAGUACGAGAGGACCGGGACGGACCAACCUCUGGUGUGCCAGUUGUUCCGCCAGGAGCACGGCUGGUUAGCUACGUUGGGAAGGGAUAACCGCUGAAAGCAUCUAAGCGGGAAGCCUGCUUCAAGAUGAGAUUUCCUAGAGGACCUUGUGCCUCGAGAGGCUCCCAGCUAGAACACUGGGUUGAUAGGCCGGAUGUGGAAGCACAGCAAUGUGUCCAGCUGACCGGUACUAAUACGCCGAAGACUUAACCAC
This 2518-nucleotide ribosomal RNA is filed under the name Ruania albidiflava DSM 18029. RNAcentral's name for it is "bacterial LSU rRNA". It matches the Rfam family "Bacterial large subunit ribosomal RNA", at positions 587 to 2925 of the family's 2925-position model. Lineage: Bacteria; Bacillati; Actinomycetota; Actinomycetes; Micrococcales; Ruaniaceae. The record is from RNAcentral.